UAUAUAUAUAGAGAUACGAACCCUGGCCGCCCGCGUGGCAGGCGAGCAUUCUACCACUGAACCACC
Molecule: non-coding RNA, 66 nt
Organism: Cordylochernes scorpioides
Lineage: Eukaryota; Metazoa; Arthropoda; Arachnida; Pseudoscorpiones; Chernetidae
Source: the annotation of a GenBank genome assembly